RNAcentral lists this ribosomal RNA (253 nucleotides) under uncultured bacterium. RNAcentral describes it as "partial 16S ribosomal RNA". It matches the Rfam family "Bacterial small subunit ribosomal RNA", at positions 524 to 776 of the family's 1533-position model. The record is from RNAcentral.
UACGUAGGGUGCAAGCGUUGUCCGGACUUAUUGGGCGUAAAGAGCUUGUAGUCGGUUUGUCGCGUCUGCUGUGAAAUUUCGGGGCUCAACCCCGAACUUGCAGUGGGUACGGGCAGACUAGAGUGUGGUAGGGGAGACUGGAAUUCCUGGUGUAGCGGUGAAAUGCGCAGAUAUCAGGAGGAACACCGAUGGCGAAGGCAGGUCUCUGGGCCACUACUGACGCUGAGAAGCGAAAGCAUGGGGAGCGAACAGG